This 240-nucleotide ribosomal RNA is filed under the name uncultured Lactobacillus sp. RNAcentral describes it as "partial 16S ribosomal RNA". It matches the Rfam family "Bacterial small subunit ribosomal RNA", at positions 122 to 356 of the family's 1533-position model. The record is from RNAcentral. Lineage: Bacteria; Bacillati; Bacillota; Bacilli; Lactobacillales; Lactobacillaceae.
UAACCUGCCCAAGAGAUCGGGAUAACACCUGGAAACAGAUGCUAAUACCGGAUAACAACAGAUGAUGCCUAUCAACUGUUUAAAAGAUGGUUCUGCUAUCACUCUUGGAUGGACCUGCGGUGCGUUAGCUAGUUGGUAGGGUAACGGCCUACCAAGGCGAUGAUGCAUAGCCGAGUUGAGAGACUGAUCGGCCACAUUGGGACUGAGACACGGCCCAAACUCCUACGGGAGGCAGCAGCG